RNAcentral lists this transfer RNA (70 nucleotides) under Parapercis cylindrica (cylindrical sandperch). RNAcentral's name for it is "tRNA-Tyr". It matches the Rfam family "tRNA". Rfam says of the family: Transfer RNA (tRNA) molecules are approximately 80 nucleotides in length. Their secondary structure includes four short double-helical elements and three loops (D, anti-codon, and T loops). Lineage: Eukaryota; Metazoa; Chordata; Actinopteri; Uranoscopiformes; Pinguipedidae. The record is from RNAcentral.
GGUAAGAUGGCUGAGGGUUAAGCGGUGGGUUGUAGCCCCAAAUACAAAGGUUUAAGUCCUUUUCUUGUCA